UAAUAUGGAAUGGUGGCAUUACUAACAGUACCCCACCCAAUUAUGGCCGGAUCAGGGCUAAACUACCAUCAGAUGAAAAAUCAAAAGCAUACUUGGUUCACCGUGUAGCGUUAAUGUGCUACAUGAAGUCAAAUCUGAAUGCCAGGGACUCUGUGAGCCACUUGUGCAACAAAAGCUUGUGUGUUAAGCCUGAACAUUUAAACAUAGAGCCUCAUUCCACCAACAUGGAACGGAGGACAUGUUUACAGUUCGGACAAUGUAACGGCCAUGGAACUGAGCCUGCCUGCAUAUUUGGUACUUAUAUGAUUAGCACAAGUUUCAUAUCAUCCAUUUAUUCAUAGAAAUACACUAAAAGUACAUAAAUGCUUUUAUUUUUCAUUUAUAACCCUGUUUAUAAGGUAUUUUUGCUUUUUUAGCCAGAAGGAAGCCUGAGGCUGAGACAGGGGCCAGUGAAUAGUGACCUUUUUGCCAAGGAGUGCCAGAACAGAGGACAUCAUAGACUGGAGUAGGGCGGGGACAUAGACCUUGUUUGUUAGUAAGUCUGGAUGGACUUUUGAUGGAGUGGGAACCUGUAACCUAUCUACGUAGCGAGUCCUGUUCACUCGCGGACGCAAGGGCUUAGCUGGGGUUAGAGAGCCGUCUACAUCCCGAAAAGUUGGAGACUACAUGAGACUUUGACAGUUGGCGGGAAACCAUCAUCCACUGGAGAGAAGCCGGUAAAAAGAUGGCCAUAAAACAGUACCGCUGAUUCGCAUAGAGUUCUUUCUUACAUACUGCAUGACCUAUCUUUUUUAUUGCUAAAAUCAAUUUGUCUUGGAAAGCUGUUUAAGAAAAGGUAUGGUUAUGAGGGUGUC
Molecule: long non-coding RNA, 854 nt
Organism: Dreissena polymorpha
Lineage: Eukaryota; Metazoa; Mollusca; Bivalvia; Myida; Dreissenidae
Exons: 3
Source: RefSeq, a predicted model, not a curated record